RNAcentral lists this ribosomal RNA (468 nucleotides) under uncultured bacterium. Its description in RNAcentral is "partial 16S ribosomal RNA". It matches the Rfam family "Bacterial small subunit ribosomal RNA", at positions 28 to 507 of the family's 1533-position model. The record is from RNAcentral.
GACGAACGCUGGCGGCGUGCUUAACACAUGCAAGUCGAACGGAAAGACCCUACUUUUGUGGGGUUCUGGAUUGAGGAAGGCGUAAGUGACACGUGAGUAACCUACUCUUGUCUUUGGGAUGACUUCAGGUAGCUGAGGCUAAUACAAGAUAGUAACUCCUGUUGCAUGGUGGGGGUUGGAACGUCUCGGCGGUUGGGGUUGGACUGGCGGCUUAUUAGUUUGUUAGUGGGGUAGUGGCUUCCCAAGGCUUUGACGGGUAGACGGCAUGAGAGGGGGACCGGCCACAGUGGGACUAAGAGACGGCCCAGAGUCCUACGGGGGGCAGCAGUGGGGAAUAUGGCACAAUGGGCCGAAGCCGGAUGAAGAAACGCUGCGGUCGGGAUGACGGCCUGCUGGGUGUAAACAGCAUUCGCCUGUGACGAAGCGGGAGUGACGGUAAUGGGUAAAGAAGCACCGGCUAACUACGUG